UUCUGGCUCUGCAGGGAGCCACAGGAUUUUUGCUAUCACACAGCAUUUAAAGGGGAGCCUCACUGCUACCUGUGCUAUUCUGAAGUUGUAACAAGAACGAGCUGAAUUACUUUAAAAAAUAAAUACUUUUAAUAUGAAAUGGAGCUUCAUUUACAUGCGGCUAAUGUUAAUAUGAAAAGCUUGCUAUAGUAAAUAUGUAGUCUGAUAGGAGCUGCUGGAAUCAAAGCCAAAUUAUUAUCAAUUUGGCUAUUCUGAGCAGCUGCCUACUUUAUCUUUGAAAUAAAUUAAUAAAUGCCUGGAUUUUUUUUUUUUUUUUUUAGAAAAAAAUUGAAUUAGGCUACUAUGAAAGCACAAAAGUAUUCUCUCUAUUUCUGUCUGAGGAUGUUGUGAAUAUUUGCACUGCUCUUUUUUGACACUAUGGGUAAUAGCAGAAGCAGCGUGGAUUAAGCCUUUCUCGGAGAGCAUGGCAUAGGCUGUAAUAGAAGUCUCUCAAAAGAAAAAAAAAUCAUUGCUUUGAAAAACCUCAAAAGAUACAUUAAAAAAAAGAAGCUUCAUGCUUAUGGGCAUGGUAGCCCUUGAUAAAAGGCUACACAGUCCUAGCUCUCAAAACACUCUUGAAAUUAAAUUAAAUCCAUUGAAAUUCUUUAGUAAAGGCCUAAGAAGUAAUAGCUUUUAUUCUGUCAGGGUGCCCUACUGGGUCUUUCCUUUCCAAGCCACCUGAGAUCCUCCUCUUAAUAGCAGAGCUGAUUGUAGAUAUGUGUCCCAGAAUCCACAACAUUACAGCAGUUCAUCUGUCCAUUUCACUUCUCCCCCUUUUUGAGGUAGGGGUGAACACUAUGCAAAGUACUGAGAGUCUCAGAAAUUACUCUUUUUCUGCCUCUUUCUGGCCACUUGACUCCUCUUCACCUUCAGAACAAAAGCAGCUCUGCUUUUAUGAAAUAAGCUGUGACAGUAUGAGCAGCCGUUCCUGUAUUUUGCCCAUGCCAGCAGCUCCCUCUGUGCUGCUGCCCACGGCCUCAUGCUGAGUCUGACCUUCAGGCAGGAUUCUGCCCCCAGCUGCAGGUGUAGCACUGCCAGCCCUUUUGCUGGCUCCGACAGCCGUGUUUUUAAUGAAUCCCACAUGGGAAGGAGGGACAGAUGUGGUGAUGAAAAGACAAGGCUUUCUCCUUGUGAGGUGCAGGGGCAGGCACUUACCUGCAUAUGUCAAAUAAAUGUGCUACAGUGUCAAGUGUGGAUGGUGUGCAAACUGAAUGUAAUAGGAACAGGUUGGUGUAUUUUUCAUAAUGUGCAUAUUAUGUCCCAUAUACUCCAGGGAAAAAACCCCAACAGGACCCUGGGGACUGCUCUGAAGCAUUACAGUUCUGCAGUAUGUGAAACACCUGUUAUUAUAAGUAUUGAUGAUACUGAAGAUAUAACAAGGCUCCUGCAGCAUAGAAACCUGUGUCAAUAGUAAGAAAGUUAUGGCACUGGUGGCAGCCAGAUUGGUGAAGAGGAGCUUGGUACCUCUGAUGUAUAGAAUGAAAGCUGAGAUGUCAGGUUGUCCCCAAAGGAUCAAUCCUAUCAUCCAAACAAUCUAAAGGUAAGAAGGCAUGGACUCACCUCAAGUGUUUCAGUAUGUUAAAUUGAGGGCCAGGAUAUCAAUACUUCUGUUUUCAGCUCCCGAAGUAUUCCUUGCUUUAGGGACCCACAGUGGGCUGCAUCAAAAUGCCUUAGCUGAUCUCCAGAAAGUCCAUCUGCAAAGAGACAACAUAAAUGAAAUUGUGGCUUCACUGAUGUAGCUGUAAUUUCCCUUAGCUGGAAAAGGUUAUAUUAAGUUCCUCAGUUAUGAAUUUUGCAGCUCUGCACAGUUUCUUCGCCUUGGUAAUUAUUAUACAGGAACCAGAAAGUGAAACCAGUUUGGAAAGCUGAGAGCAGCAUCGAUUUAUGGGCAAAGCUGAGGCAAGUGCAAGAAGCAACAGUCAGAAAUUUUUAUUUAUUUUCAGUUAUAGCUUUAUUUGGUCUAAUAGUCCUAAUCUGGCAGUCCUGAAAAACACUGCUGAUGAUCUUUCAUGACAGUAAAGGUAUUAAAUACAUAUGAUGUUGCAGUUAAACAAAACUUGCUUCAACUACAUACAUUUUUUACAAAUAUAGCAUAAAAAGUAUUGUCAGUAGUUUAAGUGGGUAUUUGCUGGGAUUCAAGAGAAAUAAUCAAUUUGAUAAGAUUUUGGGGUUUUGUUUUUCCUUUUGAACUCUUACGUGUUCAAUAAAUGGUUGUAGGUGGUUUGGAUGAUUGGUAGAUAAUUUAUAAAACUGGUUUCACAUAAUUUAACUAUUGUAGGUCAUGAAAACCAAACUAUUUUGCCCCUUAAUUAAUCUGAAUGUUAAUGAAAGCAUAGAACUAUUUAAAAUGGAUAAACAAGAAUUGAUGCAUGAUCUUCAGAGAGAUCCCAUAGUUAUAUGGUUAUACAAAGAAUGUGUACAUUUUCAGCUGUUCAACUUUCUAAUAUGAGCUAGGACAUGUAUAAAACCCAGGCCUUCUCAAAAUUACUUCUACUUCCUGUUACCUCUUGGAGUUGAGAAGAGGCCAUUGUGGAAGCAGCAAAGAAAAGCUCUUCCCACCUUGUUUUUGAACUUCUCUUUUCUCACCCUGCUUCUGUUCCUCAUGCAAAAGUAUGCAUGGAGCUUGUUUUCCUCAGGACUGGUAUUUUGGUGCCCAAAAAUGGUAGCAGUAUGUGAAAGGAAUUUCCAGCUAGAAUAGAGUGUAUGUAAGUCUAACCUUACAGAUUCAUGAAUGAACAAGGUGAACUGUCUGUGAAAAGUAGUGAGACAGUUCAGGAUUUUUUUCAGGCUGAUGUAGGAAAUUUGGAGAAAGGAAGGUUCUGAGUGCAAGGAAUAUAGCACCAAGGAUUAUUUUGAUCAGGGACAGUGGAGGGCAGGCAGGUCAUGUUUUGUUUGCUAUCAUCUGUCUUUAAUUUGUUCCUGUUUGUAGUAGAAGAAGGAAAGGAAAAUGAACAGGUUAUUUGCUUUUCUUAGACAAAUUUAUUUGUGAAUCUGUAUUUUUCCAUCGUCUCCUCCACCUAAAAGGACAGUUGGCUGAUGGAGUGGGUAAAGUCUCAGAAAAUUCACCCCUUCAGAAUGUGUCUCUAUUGAUCAGUGUGGAUGGAGCAACUUUCUGAACCUCAGUAAACUGAAAAUUAAGCUGGAAUAUGAAAAUAAAAUGAGGUUCAGAUAGCUAGCAUAGCUUUGUUAAGGAAAAGCCUUAAUUUUUGUUUACCAGGUGGUAGGCCUGACAGACUGUCUUUGUUCUAGGAACCAGCACUUUAUUUAUAGCUUGCAUCAAAAUCAAUUUAAAAUAAAGCCUCUGUAUUUUAACACAAAAUCUCAUAAACUCUAAAGAGGAUCUUCUUAUGAGAAGAAGGCAAAAAACUGACAGAAACUCUUGCUAAAUAAUUGUUGCAUGAAGUUUCAUCUUCUGUGAUAUUUCCUAAUGUACUAAGUGUAGGAAGUAACACUUGCUGUAAGGCAGAAAGAGGAUGUGCAAAUAUUUUAUGCUGAACUGGGGAGUAAAAGCACAUUACCAAAUUAGUAUAUCGGCCUGAGCUUGGUAUGGGAAAAAUGAGCUAUUUUUGCUAAUAAUUUAUAUUGCUAGCAUUUUAUCACUUUUUAGAAUUAAACCUAAGAAGCAAUAGUGAUACUAUGUUUUUUGCCUUUUUUUUUUUUUUUUUGACAGAGACUAGAUUUUUGGCAGUGUGCACAUGAGCACAUAUUAUAAAAGUUGUGAAAUUGUGGUGUUUCUUUGGGUCCUGUUUUAUGAGAAACAUGGAAAGCUUUUUUUUUUUUUUUUUUUUUUCCUUGUUUUGCUUCUCUUGUGAUUCAGUGGUUUACACUCUGAGAUUUCCAGGUGUUUGGGGAAUACCACAACAUGGGAUUACCAGCUUCCCCUCCUCCCCUUCCACCAUCCUUUCUGGGUUAUUUUUGGCUCUUCCAUUGCACUGUAUGCACAGAUUGUAUGUAUUUAUAAGGCCUCAGCAAUAUGUUUCUUGAGCUUUGUGACCCAGUUAAAAUAGCCAAUUUGUGCUAAAUGUCUUUGAGUGCUUAUUAUAAAAUGUCCUAUAGUGAAACAGAAAUUAGCUAUAAAACCCAAAUACCAAAAAAAAAAAUCUAUUUGUUUCAGUUUUUGACUUCCCAAUGCUGUCUUUUCUCUUACCUGUUGUAAAUCACUCAAAUAUUUGCUUGACUCUGCCAAAAUUUGUCUUGCACGAGUCUGCUGUUUACAUGAUUAUUACUUUAAAAGCAUAUAUCCAAUAUUUUUGCACCUCUGUUAGCUGACUCUAAUUAUGCACAUUAACAAGAAGUGGUAAAUAUUUUCAAUUACAUGAAUGACUUUUGCAUUACUAUUUUUCUUUAAAGUUUAGAAUUUACUGCCUUUGCUAAAUACUGUGUUGUUUUUUUUUAGUGUGAGAAUAAACUAAGACAUCCAGUGCAUCCUUAGACAGACUUAUUUUUUUUUUUAACAGAGUAUCAGCACUAUGAACUUGUCACAUUUUAAGAUAGCUUGUAGUGUGUGUGAAAAAAAAAACCUGAAUGACUUAGAGGCAUGGAAACUGAGGGAGGGAGAUACAGACCCUGAUGUACAAGGUGCUACUAUUGCUUUACUCAUGUUCCAUCAGGACUUCUGCAAACAUGGCCCAACUGUGACUUUAUGGUGCAGG
Molecule: non-coding RNA, 4691 nt
Organism: Taeniopygia guttata (zebra finch)
Lineage: Eukaryota; Metazoa; Chordata; Aves; Passeriformes; Estrildidae
Source: RefSeq, a predicted model, not a curated record